CGAAAUAUAUAAUUGGUGUAGAUUAUUAAUGCUGUAGAUUAUUGCCAUAGCAGAGGUGUUUACCAUAGAGAUCUUAAGCCUGAGAAUUUGCUUCUAGAUUCUAAAAGGGUGCUUAAAGAUUCAGAUUUUGGUUUGACUGUUUUAUCGUAAAAGUUCGCGUUAGCACGUCGUCUUCAUGUCUUAUGACAUUUCUCUGUGUGUGUGUGAUAAUAUACAUACAACAUCUUAUCCUUUUUGUGUCGGAGGACGGUUUACUUUACACAACAUGUGGAACACCAAAUUAUGUUGCUCCAGAGGUGACAAAAAUAAAGGGUAUCAUGGAGCUAAAGCAGAUGUGUGGUCAUGUGGUGUUAUACUCCGUCUUAAUGGCUGGUUACCUGCCUUUUGAUGACUCCAAUUUGAUAUGUCUGUAUAGUCAGACACCUGCGAUGUUUGUAUUUACACAGAACAAUGCUGUCAUGCUGGUGACCAAUUUGAUUUAUGUCUUCUAAAGGAGUUCCCUGUCUGCCUGCAGAUAUUCAAGGCAAACCUCAAUUUUACUUCAUGAUUCUCGCCAGGUGCAAGGGUCUUAAUCAAGAGCUUUCUCGAUCCUAAUCCGUCGACCGUAUGUGACUUUCUCCUUUUACUCGUGUUUUCGAUGUUCUCUUGAAGGUGUAUGCAGAUAUAUAGGCUUCAUUCUUCAUUUCUUUGUGAUUAAACCAGAGGAUAACAAUCUCCGAGAUUCUCGAGAACGAGUGGUUUAAGAAAGGAUAUAUAAACCGCCAAGGUUCGAGCAAGCCGAUGUUACCCUUGAUGAUCCCGAUUCCUUUUUCGGUGUCAGUAUUCUCAAAACCUCGUUUUCGAAUGGCGGGAAGAAAGGCCUGCACUACCUAUUACGAUAACGUAUGAA
Molecule: long non-coding RNA, 889 nt
Organism: Hibiscus syriacus
Lineage: Eukaryota; Viridiplantae; Streptophyta; Magnoliopsida; Malvales; Malvaceae
Exons: 5
Source: RefSeq, a predicted model, not a curated record